RNAcentral lists this ribosomal RNA (253 nucleotides) under uncultured bacterium. Its description in RNAcentral is "partial 16S ribosomal RNA". It matches the Rfam family "Bacterial small subunit ribosomal RNA", at positions 524 to 776 of the family's 1533-position model. The record is from RNAcentral.
UACGUAGGGUGCAAGCGUUGUCCGGAAUUACUGGGCGUAAAGGGCGCGUAGGCGGCCGCCUAAGUCAGACGUGAAAUCCCUCGGCUCAACCGGGGAACUGCGUCUGAUACUGGGUGGCUUGAAUCCGGGAGAGGGAUGCGGAAUUCCAGGUGUAGCGGUGAAAUGCGUAGAUAUCUGGAGGAACACCGGUGGCGAAGGCGGCAUCCUGGACCGGCAUUGACGCUGAGGAGCGAAAGCAUGGGGAGCGAACAGG